AGUGAAUAGAUACCCAGGUAGUCCACGCCGUAAACGAUGAUAACUAGCUGUCCGGGCUCAUGGAGUUUGGGUGGCGCAGCUAACGCAUUAAGUUAUCCGCCUGGGGAGUACGGUCGCAAGAUUAAAACUCAAAGGAAUUGACGGGGGCGUGCACAAGCGGUGGAGCAUGUGGUUUAAUUUACGAAGCAACGCGCAGAACCUUACCCAGCUUUUGUACAUCCCGACUCGCGAUUACCUAGAGAUGGUUUUCUUUCAGUUCGGUCUGGAUCGGUGACAGGUGCUGCAUGGCUGUCGUCAGCUCGUGUCGUGAGAUGUUGGGUUUAAGUCCCGCAACGAGCGCAACCCUCGUCCUUAGUUGCCAUCAUUAAGUUGGGCACUCUAAGGAAACCUGCCGGUGAUAAGCCGGAGGAAGGUGGGGAUGACGUCAAGUCCUCAUGGCCCUUACAAGCUGGGCUACACACGUGCUACAAUGGCGAUGACAGUGGGCAGCGAUCUCGCAAGGG
This 503-nucleotide ribosomal RNA is filed under the name uncultured bacterium. RNAcentral describes it as "bacterial SSU rRNA". It matches the Rfam family "Bacterial small subunit ribosomal RNA", at positions 773 to 1263 of the family's 1533-position model. The record is from RNAcentral.